This 259-nucleotide ribosomal RNA is filed under the name uncultured prokaryote. Its description in RNAcentral is "partial 16S ribosomal RNA". It matches the Rfam family "Bacterial small subunit ribosomal RNA", at positions 524 to 782 of the family's 1533-position model. The record is from RNAcentral.
UACGGAGGAUCCGAGCGUUAUCCGGAUUUAUUGGGUUUAAAGGGUGCGCAGGCGGAAGAUUAAGUCGGUGGUGAAAUUUUGCAGCUCAACUGUAACAGUGCCAUUGAUACUGGUUUUCUUGAGUGUGGAUGAAGUAGGCGGAAUUUGUGGUGUAGCGGUGAAAUGCAUAGAUAUCACGAGGAACUCCGAUUGCGCAGGCAGCUUACUAAACCAUAACUGACGCUCAGGCACGAAGGCGUGGGGAUCAAACAGGAUUAGA